AAAAGAGGGUUGGUGAAUUUUGAUAAUUAACGAGGGUUUGGAAUCCCAAAUCUUAAGUAUCUGUCAUUUAGGUGAGAUAAGGGAUUUCACAAACUCAUAUUCUUUUCAUCAAUUUGUUCUAGAAUUUGUCUGAAUAAUAAGAAAUUGGAUUGCAUGAGAGACGAGAGAACAAGAAUACAAACAACUAAACCUUAAUCCCAAAU
This 203-nucleotide unclassified non-coding RNA is filed under the name Hevea brasiliensis (rubber tree). Lineage: Eukaryota; Viridiplantae; Streptophyta; Magnoliopsida; Malpighiales; Euphorbiaceae. The record is from RNAcentral.